AGUUCUAAAUUCCCAGUCUUAUCUGAGCUAGCUAGAGAUAUCCUUGCUGUUCAAGUAUCUUCGGUUGCUUCUGAAUCCGCAUUUAGCACAAGUGGUCGGAUCUUGGACCCGUAUCGCAGUUCUAUGUCACCUUUUAUGGUUGAGUCGUUGGUUUGCACCCAACAGUGGCUGAGGAAUACCAUUCAAGCAGAGAAAUUAGCAAGCUUAGUUCAGAUGUUUGAAGAAUUGCAGUUUCAUGAGUCCUUAGCUACACAGAAUGCGACUCAUCCAAUUGCGGAUCCGUGAUCUAGAGAAGAACAAGGGAGACUAGAACCAAAUAAUGAUAGUAAAAGGUUGUCUCUCUUUCUCUACAUCUUUUGCAUAAAAAAACUCAUAACAGUUAACUAUUUUUUGGAAUGAAGUAAGUAGAGAAUGACAAUAUACCAAAUGCCUAGAGGUAAGAGGAAAGGAUCAUUGGUAUAUUGUCAAUUCUCAUUCUCUCUA
Non-coding RNA from Camelina sativa (false flax), 483 nucleotides. The record is from RefSeq and is a predicted model, not a curated record. Lineage: Eukaryota; Viridiplantae; Streptophyta; Magnoliopsida; Brassicales; Brassicaceae.